GAAAAAGUAUGCAAGAACUGCUAACUCAUGCUCCCAUGAGUAAAAUCAUGGCUUUUUCA
This 59-nucleotide transfer RNA is filed under the name Spilogale gracilis (western spotted skunk). RNAcentral describes it as "tRNA-Ser". Lineage: Eukaryota; Metazoa; Chordata; Mammalia; Carnivora; Mephitidae. The record is from RNAcentral. RNAcentral also lists the same sequence under 3 other names.